AGGGUGCUACAGCGAUGGAAAAAAUAACCCCUAGAGGAAGGGAGAGGCGAAUUUGCCAUCCAAUGAUGUCGGACCAGAAACGAUGCUGCUCGCAGUUUCGGUAAAGAUAGAAAGAAGCAAAGGACGUGCACGCACUGAAAAGCUAGGUCAAGGGUUUGAGAAAGAGCAUACGCUUUGAAUAGACCCACAGAACCCACGGGACGCCUCGCAAAUGCACGGAUCAGCAUACCUGUACAGUUCUUCUGCACGCUGUUUUUUAAGGGAUCAGCUAUAUGAGCUGCAGCGGAUAUAAUGAUGCAGGAAGCCCCACUGCCGCUGCUGUUCACGCUGAAAACAAUGCAAAGGCAGUGACAGUCAAGCUCGAGCUCUGCUGUGGUUUAACCAGUCCUGUCACUUCCUCUUUGACGUGUGCAUGUUGUGGACUGUCAGCCGUACGCGCUUUUUUAAAAGCACAGGACUUUAUUUUUUGACUGCAUGGAGGACACUGUCGGCCUGCUUUGCUGUUUUAUUUAGUCGGCUCAACCGGGAGCCAGCGGCUCGCUUACAGACAGCGCGGGGAAAUAGCGUUGCAGCGACCGGCAGACACCUCGACCUGCGGCGGGGAUGUGUGUGAGCUAAAGCCGCCGGAUAUCGAUGGCCGCGUCGCUCUGAUAAGAGCCGCUUUGAGCUAAAGGUCUGAGAAAUGAGCUUGGCUCCUUCUCUCUGAUGCACUCGAGCUAAGGGCCGUCCUGGUGGAUUUGCCCCUGACCCAGCGGAGCGUUUCCAGCCCCAGCCCCGCUCCACGGCCAACAUGCUGAUCAAAGAGUACCGCAUCCCCAUGCCCAUGAGCGUGGAGGAGUACCGCAUCGCUCAACUCUACAUGAUUCAG
Long non-coding RNA from Sinocyclocheilus anshuiensis, 868 nucleotides. RefSeq lists it as uncharacterized. NCBI's taxonomy places the organism in Eukaryota, Metazoa, Chordata, Actinopteri, Cypriniformes, Cyprinidae. The transcript is spliced from 2 exons. The record is from RefSeq and is a predicted model, not a curated record.